AGAGUUUGAUCCUGGCUCAGGAUGAACGCUGGCGGCGUGCUUAACACAUGCAAGUCGAACGGGAAACCUUUUAUUGAAGCUUCGGCAGAUUUAGAUUGUUUCUAGUGGCGGACGGGUGAGUAACGCGUGGGUAACCUGCCUUGUACAGGGGGAUAACAGUCAGAAAUGACUGCUAAUACCGCAUAAGCGCACAGGACCGCAUGGUCCGGUGUGAAAAACUCCGGUGGUAUAAGAUGGACCCGCGUUGGAUUAGCUAGUUGGUGAGGUAACGGCCCACCAAGGCGACGAUCCAUAGCCGGCCUGAGAGGGUGAACGGCCACAUUGGACUGAGACACGGCCCAGACUCCUACGGGAGGCAGCAGUGGGGAAUAUUGCACAAUGGGGGAAACCCUGAUGCAGCGACGCCGCGUGAAGGAAGAAGUAUCUCGGUAUGUAAACUUCUAUCAGCAGGGAAGAAAAUGACGGUACCUGACUAAGAAGCCCCGGCUAACUACGUGCCAGCAGCCGCGGUAAUACGUAGGGGGCAAGCGUUAUCCGGGUUUACUGGGUGUAAAGGGAGCGUAGACGGAUGGACAAGUCUGAUGUGAAAGGCUGGGGCUCAACCCCGGGACUGCAUUGGAAACUGCCCGUCUUGAGUGCCGGAGAGGUAAGCGGAAUUCCUAGUGUAGCGGCGAAAUGCGUAGAUAUUAGGAGGAACACCAGUGGCGAAGGCGGCUUACUGGACGGUAACUGACGUUGAGGCUCGAAAGCGUGGGGAGCAAACAGGAUUAGAUACCCUGGUAGUCCACGCGGUAAACGAUGAAUACUAGGUGUCGGGGAGCAAAGCUUUUAAUGCCUCAGCAAACGCAUUAAGCAUUCCACCUGGAGAGUACGUUCGCAAGAAUAAAAGUCAAAGGAAUUGACGGGGACCCGCACAAACGGUGGAGCAUGAAGGUUUAAUUAGAAGCAACGCGAAGGAACCUUACCAAGUCUUGACAUCCCUCUGACCGAGUCUUAACCGAGUCUUUCGUUCGGGACAGAGGAGACAGGUGGUGCAUGGUUGUCGUCAGCUAGUGUCGUGAGAUGUUGGGUUAAGUCCCGCAACGAGCGCAACCCCUAUCCUCAGUAGCCAGCAUUUAAGGUGGGCACUCUGUGGAGACUGCCAGGGAUAACCUGGAGGAAGGCGGGGAUGACGUCAAAUCAUCAUGCCCCAUAUGAUUUGGGCUACACACGUGCUACAAUGGCGUAAACAAAGGGAAGCGAACCUGCGAGGGUGGGCAAAUCCCAAAAAUAACGUCCCAGUUCGGACUGUAGUCUGCAACCCGACUACACGAAGCUGGAAUAGGGGAGUAAUCGCGGAUCAGAAUUCCGCGGU
This 1354-nucleotide ribosomal RNA is filed under the name uncultured bacterium. Its description in RNAcentral is "bacterial SSU rRNA". It matches the Rfam family "Bacterial small subunit ribosomal RNA", at positions 8 to 1363 of the family's 1533-position model. The record is from RNAcentral.